This 423-nucleotide long non-coding RNA is filed under the name Rattus norvegicus (Norway rat). RNAcentral's name for it is "long non-coding RNA NONRATT022998". Lineage: Eukaryota; Metazoa; Chordata; Mammalia; Rodentia; Muridae. The record is from RNAcentral.
ACAGCUGGGCCAAAGCUUCCCGGUGAGAGGCGAGCAGGGACCAGGUCACAGAGUUGUGCAGUUGGAUCAAUGCCCUGCUCAUUCGAUUUCUGAAAACAGUCACGCUCUUCAGUUUGAGAUCCACUGAAGGCUGCAACCAACUGCAUGUAGCCAGCCACCAGGUUCAGGGGAGAAUGUGUGAAAUUUACGAAAAUAAUCAUUUUGAGAAAGUAGCACCCUAAGUCAUCCCUUUACACCCCCUGGAGAUUUCAUCGAUACUCUGCGCUUCCUGCAUGUUGUUGGCCAAUUCCCAGGUCUUCUGGGCCAUACCACUCCCGGAAGCUGUCAUGGCCGAGGGACCGGAGAAGCUGUAGUCUCCACAACCAAGAUGCAACUUUAUUCUACUGGGCCUCAGCGUGCGGGCUUUGCACCUUCCCCACCACG